RNAcentral lists this ribosomal RNA (1218 nucleotides) under Actinobaculum massiliense. Its description in RNAcentral is "bacterial SSU rRNA". It matches the Rfam family "Bacterial small subunit ribosomal RNA", at positions 79 to 1299 of the family's 1533-position model. The record is from RNAcentral. Lineage: Bacteria; Bacillati; Actinomycetota; Actinomycetes; Actinomycetales; Actinomycetaceae.
UUGGUUGGGUGCUCGAGUGGCGAACGGGUGAGUAUUACGUGAGUAACCUGCCCUCAACUGUGGGAUAAGCCUGGGAAACUGGGUCUAAUACUGCAUAUUCUUCUUUCACCGCAUGGUGGGGGUUGGAAAGUUUUUUCGGUUGGGGAUGGGCUCGCGGCCUAUCAGCUUGUUGGUGGGGUGAUGGCCUACCAAGGCGGUGACGGGUAGCCGGCCUGAGAGGGUGGUCGGCCACAUUGGGACUGAGAUACGGCCCAGACUCCUACGGGAGGCAGCAGUGGGGGAUAUUGCACAAUGGGCGCAAGCCUGAUGCAGCGACGCCGCGUGAGGGAUGAAGGCUUUCGGGUUGUAAACCUCUUUCGGUACAGAACAAGGCACGUUUUUUGCGUGUGGAGGGUAUGUGCAGAAGAAGCGCCGGCUAACUACGUGCCAGCAGCCGCGGUAAUACGUAGGGCGCGAGCGUUGUCCGGAAUUAUUGGGCGUAAAGGGCUCGUAGGCGGCUUGUUGCGCCUGCUGUGAAAACGCGGGGCUUAACUCCGCGCGUGCAGUGGGUACGGGCAGGCUUGAGUGUGGUAGGGGUGACUGGAAUUCCAGGUGUAGCGGUGGAAUGCGCAGAUAUCUGGAGGAACACCGAUGGCGAAGGCAGGUCACUGGGCCAUUACUGACGCUGAGGAGCGAAAGCGUGGGUAGCGAACAGGAUUAGAUACCCUGGUAGUCCACGCUGUAAACGUUGGGAACUAGGUGUGGGGCCCUUUUCCGGGGUUCUGCGCCGUAGCUAACGCAUUAAGUUCCCCGCCUGGGGAGUACGGCCGCAAGGCUAAAACUCAAAGGAAUUGACGGGGGCCCGCACAAGCGGCGGAGCAUGCGGAUUAAUUCGAUGCAACGCGAAGAACCUUACCAAGGCUUGACAUACACCGGGAGCAUGCAGAGAUGUGUGUGCCUUUUUGGCUGGUGUACAGGUGGUGCAUGGUUGUCGUCAGCUCGUGUCGUGAGAUGUUGGGUUAAGUCCCGCAACGAGCGCAACCCUUGUCUCGUGUUGCCAGCGCGUUAUGGUGGGGACUCACGAGAGACUGCCGGGGUUAACUCGGAGGAAGGUGGGGAUGACGUCAAAUCAUCAUGCCCCUUAUGUCUUGGGCUUCACGCAUGCUACAAUGGCCGGUACAGUGGGUUGCGAUACUGUGAGGUGGAGCGAAUCUCUGAAAGCCGGUCUCAGUUCGGAUC